CAGCCGCCACGGGAAUACGUAGGUGGCAAGCGUUGUCCGGAAUUAUUGGGCGUAAAGGGCUCGCAGGCGGUUUCUUAAGUCUGAUGUGAAAGCCCCCGGCUCAACCGGGGAGGGUCAUUGGAAACUGGGAAACUUGAGUGCAGAAGAGGAGAGUGGAAUUCCACGUGUAGCGGUGAAAUGCGUAGAGAUGUGGAGGAACACCAGUGGCGAAGGCGACUCUCUGGUCUGUAACUGACGCUGAGGAGCGAAAGCGUGGGGAGCGAACAGGAUUAGAUACCCGUGUAGUCCCUGUCUCUUAUAC
This 301-nucleotide ribosomal RNA is filed under the name uncultured bacterium. RNAcentral describes it as "partial 16S ribosomal RNA". It matches the Rfam family "Bacterial small subunit ribosomal RNA", at positions 509 to 807 of the family's 1533-position model. The record is from RNAcentral.